CAUUGGCCAGAAAGCAUUUGAAGAGCAUUAGCAUUUAGUAAAUGUUUCUCUAAAUGUUUUACUAACAAUUGUUGAUUGGAUAAUGUUAGCAUAAUGUUAAUGCUAAUGUUCUACCAAUCAAGACCCCAGUUUAAAGGUGAGUAAACAUAAUUCCAACAAUUUUUUCACGCUUAUAUUUCGUAGUUGAACCUUUUGAUUUUUAAAUUAUAAAAUUUUCAAAAUUUGUUAAAUAUUUAUUAUUUAAAAUUAUGAGAAAUAAAUAUUAACACCACAUUUAAACUAGUAUUUUAGAAAUCAUAAAAGAACAUAAUAUAAACUCAAAUAUACAUUUAAAAGAACAUAACACACAUGAUUGUGUUAAUUUCUAAAUUAAUUAAAUUCAGAAAAUGAUAAACUCAUCCUAAUCAACCACGUUCACAACAACCAUUCAAUCUCACUCUUAGAACAUAUAUAGGCAAAAAAAAAAAAAACUUUCCACAAUAUAUAAGAAACGCUUUUUGUAUGCCAGUUAAUGCAAAUCAAAACUAUACUAAAAGGAGCAUAUUAAGCUCUCUAAGGGCGUCCACGUCAGACUGGAAAUUCAACCAGUAGGAUUGCAGCAUUUUUUCACGUCAUUUAAUAGUUACUUUGGUUUGGGCUUUUGUGAUUUUCGAUCUGUAAUUUGGUCUUUUGUUAUUUUCUGUCGGUAGGCUAUAGCCCAUAUUUUGCAACUGAUUUUGUUCUUCACCAUGAACUGCUCUCUUCCACUUAUCGUAACUUUCGGGAUUUUAUUUUUCAUUAAUGUUGGGAUUCUUCUGAUCCGUUAGGCUCUCUUUGUUAUCCCCUUUCUUCCACUUCGUAACAUACAGCUUCUCCACCAUAAAAAACGAUAAAUAUCUUAUUCAAUUCAGAAACCACACUCAGACAAUGCUCUUUUGCACUUCCCAAACUUUCUAUAUAUUUUCCCCAAAAAAAAAAAGGGAUGACACGAAUAAUCUCAAUCUUUUAAGAACUACUGAAGAAGUACAUAGAAGCCAAAAAAGAAUUCAAAGGAAAUAGAGAAGCCAACGAAAACUCCAAAGGUCUUUUCCACUUUUAAUUUGGUUUAUAGUUUUUACUGUUACAGUAAACUCCAAUCGGCCUCUUCCCCUUGCAGAUUUUCCGACGUAGCCAAACCUCCCCAGCGACCACUAUCUGUUCCGCCCACAGAUGGGCCAAUUAUCUUAGACUUCAGUUUCACCACCGAGCCUCUACCGCACUGCCACUUUGUUUUCUUUGCGACCAUCUGUUCCCAUUGACAUCAAUUUUUAUCAUGGUUUUUCUCAGUCCUUAACCAACAUAUUCUCUCAGUUGUUUAUCACUAUGUAAUCUGAUUGUCCGAAAUCUAAGAGGUUUUAGGAGCCGAUUCGCAUUUCUAUGGAACCAGAAUAGCAUUUGAAGCUAGGGUCUCUAAACCACCCCAAUUUGGUUAAAGAAGCUCUGAAGCUUUUGGCUAGAGCUUUGACUCUCUUCGAGAUAGUUUUCCGAAUUUGACGCUACCUCUCUUGGUUUGGUUUUGAUUCUUUUUUGGCAGGAGGAAGGAGCGAGUCCCCUUGCACCAAAUUUACGUGCUAAAAUGGAUGAGAUCAUCCUGCAAACUUAUAUCUUGGAGCUUCUUAGUUUACUGUUCGGUUAUGAUCCCGCAAACUUAUGUAUCUCACCCUUGCAGAGCUCAACCAAUGCUGUUGAUAUCUGAUCCUCAGAUAAUUGAGUUUCUAUGUAAGGCAAAAGUAACUGGUAUCCAUGCAUAUAAAGGUUGGUGUUACAUUGGUUGCUCUAGCGAGAGAUUUCUUCUUUCACAUUCAUCGUAUGUGAUAAAUCUGUCCUAAGGUAUCAUGUGGAGCUAUGUGUAUCAGACGAGCUGGAUGAGGCUGUCUUUGUCGCUUUUGAUAUGGAGAUGGAAAAGUUGGCAAACAUUCAAGCUGCUGAAGCUGCACAAAUUUUGGUUAAGAUUUCCUUAUUCUACCAUAUGCAUCAAACUAAUGCUCCAACUUAUAUGUAGCUUUAUUGAAAAUAUGUUUCUGUAUAUGCAGGGUGCAUGUGUGAAUGCUCAUGUGGACAACGAACUACCCCACUUUGUAGCUUGAUAUUAUAGGCAAAACCUACACUUUUCCAGCUCAAGCUAUGGGAGUUUAAUUUCACUUCCAAGCACCAAACCUUCACCGUUUCCCGUAUCAUUUCUUAGGAACAGCGUGCACCACUCCAAGAAUUUGUCAUACAAAGAAACCAGUAGCACCAUAGCGCUCAACUGGUGAGCAAAACACUGUUGUAGAGGUAUCACGUUGUGCGACAGCAAAAGUCCGAGAGACUACAAGUGACGACCCUCAACUAUCCUCAUCUGCUGUACCAGCAAGCGUUCGUCAUGCAGCAAACAAGUCGAAGCUUGAUCCAAAUGAGAGUGGAUAAAGAAGGCACACAAGACAUAGCUCCACGUGACAAGGAAAGUCCACCUCUGUUUGCUUGAAAUAAUCUUAUAAGGUCACUUUCUAUUUUACAUUAUUAAACUAAAUGUAGUGGUGGAACUUUGAGUUAUUAUUGCAAAUUUAUUUCCUCAAAUGGCUUUCUCUUUGUUUUAAGACGUAGAGUGUGACACCCGUCACCUCCUAUAUGGAGGACAGCGUGUCACCCCCGACGCGUCAUCAUACAACAAUGUGAUACCCGUCUCCCUGACACUAAGGACGACGGGCCACCAACAAUAUCCCGUAAUAUAAAAGCCCAUAAACCCGACAACUCUCAC
Molecule: long non-coding RNA, 2755 nt
Organism: Brassica napus (rape)
Lineage: Eukaryota; Viridiplantae; Streptophyta; Magnoliopsida; Brassicales; Brassicaceae
Exons: 4
Source: RefSeq, a predicted model, not a curated record